GGAGAGGUGUCCGAGUGGCUGAAGGAGCCGGUCUCGAAAACCGGUAGGCCCGUUUUCGGGUCUCGUGGGUUCGAAUCCCACCCUCUCCG
This 89-nucleotide transfer RNA is filed under the name bacterium HR33. It matches the Rfam family "tRNA". Rfam says of the family: Transfer RNA (tRNA) molecules are approximately 80 nucleotides in length. Their secondary structure includes four short double-helical elements and three loops (D, anti-codon, and T loops). Further hydrogen bonds mediate the characteristic L-shaped molecular structure. tRNAs have two regions of fundamental functional importance: the anti-codon, which is responsible for specific mRNA codon recognition, and the 3' end, to which the tRNAs corresponding amino acid is attached (by aminoacyl-tRNA synthetases). tRNAs cope with the degeneracy of the genetic code in two manners: having more than one tRNA (with a specific anti-codon) for a particular amino acid; and 'wobble' base-pairing, i.e. permitting non-standard base-pairing at the 3rd anti-codon position. RNAcentral also lists the same sequence under 1 other name. The record is from Rfam by way of RNAcentral.